Molecule: long non-coding RNA, 227 nt
Filed under: Podarcis muralis (Common wall lizard)
Lineage: Eukaryota; Metazoa; Chordata; Lepidosauria; Squamata; Lacertidae
Description: lncRNA (ENSPMRG00000019763.1)
Source: RNAcentral
CAGUGUGCAGCAGAAUAACCAAAGGGGAACCCUGAGUUAUUCUGUACACAGAAUGCUGAAAAUGUAUUCAAAACUGCAUAAAUGACACAUCUUUGCCAUGAUGUCCUCCACUGAUCCUGUUAAAACCAAUGAAAACCGAUCAACAUCAGUGAGCUCGCAGCUCUGAGAGAACCCGAACAGAUUCUUCCCCUCACUUCUCACUGCGAGCUCCAAGCAGUGUGCAUGGG